AUAAGAUGGCUGAAUUAAGGCGAUAAACUGUAAAUUUAUUUAUGAAUUUAAAUUCUCUUAUCAA
RNAcentral lists this transfer RNA (64 nucleotides) under Staphylininae sp. 1 ACP-2013. RNAcentral describes it as "tRNA-Tyr". It matches the Rfam family "tRNA". Rfam says of the family: Transfer RNA (tRNA) molecules are approximately 80 nucleotides in length. Their secondary structure includes four short double-helical elements and three loops (D, anti-codon, and T loops). Lineage: Eukaryota; Metazoa; Arthropoda; Insecta; Coleoptera; Staphylinidae. The record is from RNAcentral.